UAAAUUUUUUUUGUUGACACCACUUUAACCUCUAUUUUUUUAUUUGAGUUUUAUAUUUAUUUCAUUAUUAAUUUUAAUAAAUUUAAUAAAUUUCUCUUGCCGUUAUCUCCUCCAUUAAUUUUUUCUACUAUAUUAGUGAUAAAGUUAAAACAACAUAGUACUAAUGUAAAAAUUUGAUAAACCACAGAAUACUAAAGUGAAUAUUCAAUAAAGCAUAGGUGGGCUAUUUGAUAUAAUUUAAUGGAGAGUUAAUAGAGGUGCUAACAGAAAGGAAAAAAUAAAAUCAUAGAAUACUAAAGUGAUACUUUUUAAAAUAUAUGAUAUUAAAGUGAAAAAGUGUGAAACCACAUGGUUGGUAUUGAAGUUUACCCUAAAUUAUAUACAAUUAUUAUUAUAAAGAAAAAAGGCAAUUUCAUCGGUAACCUUAUCAAACUUGUAAAUUUCGUGAAUACUCCUCUAAACUUUAAAAUAUCAUAAAUACCUUUUCAAACACAUA
This 496-nucleotide long non-coding RNA is filed under the name Ananas comosus (pineapple). RNAcentral's name for it is "long non-coding RNA (ACOM_LNC037424)". The record is from RNAcentral. Lineage: Eukaryota; Viridiplantae; Streptophyta; Magnoliopsida; Poales; Bromeliaceae.